AUUGAACGCUGGCGGCAUGCCUUACACAUGCAAGUCGAACGGCAGCAUGAUCUAGCUUGCUCGAUUGAUGGCGAGUGGCGAACGGGUGAGUAAUACAUCGGAACGUGCCCUGUAGUGGGGGAUAACUAGUCGAAAGAUUAGCUAAUACCGCAUACGACCUGAGGGUGAAAGUGGGGGACCGCAAGGCCUCCUGCUAUAGGAGCGGCCGAUGUCUGAUUAGCUAGUUGGUGAGGUAAAGGCUCACCAAGGCGACGAUCAGUAGCUGGUCUGAGAGGACGAUCAGCCACACUGGGACUGAGACACGGCCCAGACUCCUACGGGAGGCAGCAGUGGGGAAUUUUGGACAAUGGGCGAAAGCCUGAUCCAGCAAUGCCGCGUGUGUGAAGAAGGCCUUCGGGUUGUAAAGCACUUUUGUCCGGAAAGAAAUGGCUCUGGUUAAUACCUGGGGUCGAUGACGGUACCGGAAGAAUAAGGACCGGCUAACUACGUG
RNAcentral lists this ribosomal RNA (490 nucleotides) under uncultured bacterium. Its description in RNAcentral is "partial 16S ribosomal RNA". It matches the Rfam family "Bacterial small subunit ribosomal RNA", at positions 30 to 507 of the family's 1533-position model. The record is from RNAcentral.